UCGGGUAGAAGUAAGCUAACGACGAUAAGAUUCCCGAUCUCCUUCUCACUUGAAGGACCAUUAUACGGAUUGAAGUUGUUCUCGAGGUAGAGAGACACGAACAUUCCUGCUCAAACCGUGCUGCCUUUGCCGAUACCUGCUAGAAUAAUUGAUUCUCCUUCGUCAACCGAGACCAUUCGUGACAGUCAAACUGUUGACGGUGAGACUCAGUCAAAGACGCGUGAUAUUCCAGCCCUCCUACACUAUUUCUAAGAGAGAGACUUAUCAAAAGGUGAUUGCACCAACAUAGACUUAGAGUUCCUUUAACUAGGUUAUGAGAAGAAUUUCUACCGUUUCAAUUAAUUAGUAUAGUAUCAAAAGGUUACUUCCAUUGUUAUAUAAACAUCUUUCAAUUUAAGAAGGUUUUCGCUCAUUAAUUAUACUACCAUUAGUUGUUCUAUAUUUUGUUCUA
This is a long non-coding RNA of Bolinopsis microptera, 451 nucleotides long. RefSeq lists it as uncharacterized. The record is from RefSeq and is a predicted model, not a curated record. NCBI's taxonomy places the organism in Eukaryota, Metazoa, Ctenophora, Tentaculata, Lobata, Bolinopsidae. The transcript has 3 exons.